GCUCAGGACGAACGCUGGCGGCGUGCCUAAUACAUGCAAGUCGAACGAACUCUGGUAUUGAUUGGUGCUUGCAUUCAUGAUUUACAUUUGAGUGAGUGGCGAACUGGUGAGUAACACGUGGGAAACCUGCCCAGAAGCGGGGGAUAACACCUGGAAACAGAUGCUAAUACCGCAUAACAACUUGGACCGCAUGGUCCGAGUUUGAAAGAUGGCUUCGGCUAUCACUUUUGGAUGGUCCCGCGGCGUAUUAGCUAGAUGGUGGGGUAACGGCUCACCAUGGCAAUGAUACGUAGCCGACCUGAGAGGGUAAUCGGCCACAUUGGGACUGAGACACGGCCCAAACUCCUACGGGAGGCAGCAGUAGGGAAUCUUCCACAAUGGACGAAAGUCUGAUGGAGCAACGCCGCGUGAGUGAAGAAGGGUUUCGGCUCGUAAAACUCUGUUGUUAAAGAAGAACAUAUCUGAGAGUAACUGUUCAGGUAUUGACGGUAUUUAACCAGAAAGCCACGGCUAACUACGUGCCAGCAGCCGCGGUAAUACGUAGGUGGCAAGCGUUGUCCGGAUUUAUUGGGCGUAAAGCGAGCGCAGGCGGUUUUUUAAGUCUGAUGUGAAAGCCUUCGGCUCAACCGAAGAAGUGCAUCGGAAACUGGGAAACUUGAGUGCAGAAGAGGACAGUGGAACUCCAUGUGUAGCGGUGAAAUGCGUAGAUAUAUGGAAGAACACCAGUGGCGAAGGCGGCUGUCUGGUCUGUAACUGACGCUGAGGCUCGAAAGUAUGGGUAGCAAACAGGAUUAGAUACCCUGGUAGUCCAUACCGUAAACGAUGAAUGCUAAGUGUUGGAGGGUUUCCGCCCUUCAGUGCUGCAGCUAACGCAUUAAGCAUUCCGCCUGGGGAGUACGGCCGCAAGGCUGAAACUCAAAGGAAUUGACGGGGGCCCGCACAAGCGGUGGAGCAUGUGGUUUAAUUCGAAGCUACGCGAAGAACCUUACCAGGUCUUGACAUACUAUGCAAAUCUAAGAGAUUAGACGUUCCCUUCGGGGACAUGGAUACAGGUGGUGCAUGGUUGUCGUCAGCUCGUGUCGUGAGAUGUUGGGUUAAGUCCCGCAACGAGCGCAACCCUUAUUAUCAGUUGCCAGCAUUAAGUUGGGCACUCUGGUGAGACUGCCGGUGACAAACCGGAGGAAGGUGGGGAUGACGUCAAAUCAUCAUGCCCCUUAUGACCUGGGCUACACACGUGCUACAAUGGAUGGUACAACGAGUUGCGAACUCGCGAGAGUAAGCUAAUCUCUUAAAGCCAUUCUCAGUUCGGAUUGUAGGCUGCAACUCGCCUACAUGAAGUCGGAAUCGCUAGUAAUCGCGGAUCAGCAUGCCGGUGGUGAAAUACACUUUUCCGGGCCUUGGUAAAACACCGCCCGUCACACCAUGAAGAGUUUGUAACACCUCAAAGUCCGGUGAGGUAACCUUCUUAGGAUCCAGCCGCCUAAGAUGGGACAGAUGAUU
RNAcentral lists this ribosomal RNA (1500 nucleotides) under Lactiplantibacillus plantarum. Its description in RNAcentral is "Lactobacillus plantarum 16S ribosomal RNA". It matches the Rfam family "Bacterial small subunit ribosomal RNA". Lineage: Bacteria; Bacillati; Bacillota; Bacilli; Lactobacillales; Lactobacillaceae. The record is from RNAcentral.